This 343-nucleotide unclassified non-coding RNA is filed under the name soil metagenome. Its description in RNAcentral is "partial contains 5.8S ribosomal RNA, internal transcribed spacer 2, and large subunit ribosomal RNA". The stretch from base 1 to 120 matches the Rfam family "5.8S ribosomal RNA", at positions 35 to 154 of the family's 154-position model. The record is from RNAcentral.
GAUGAAGAACGUAGCGAAAUGCGAUAAGUAAUGUGAAUUGCAGAAUUCAGUGAAUCAUCGAAUCUUUGAACGCACAUUGCGCCCGCUAGUAUUCUGGCGGGCAUGCCUGUCCGAGCGUCAUUUCAACCCUCAAGCCCCCGGGCUUGGUGUUGGGGAUCGGCGAGCCUCCGCGCCCGCCGUCCCCUAAAUCUAGUGGCGGUCUCGCUGUAGCUUCCUCUGCGUAGUAGCACACCUCGCACUGGGAAACAGCGCGGCCACGCCGUUAAACCCCCAACUUCUGAACGUUUGACCUCGCAUCAGGUAGGAAUACCCGCUGAACUUAAGCAUAUCAAUAAGCGGAGGA